RNAcentral lists this non-coding RNA (123 nucleotides) under Jaculus jaculus (lesser Egyptian jerboa). Lineage: Eukaryota; Metazoa; Chordata; Mammalia; Rodentia; Dipodidae. The record is from RNAcentral.
GGGCUGUAUGAAAGGAGAGGUUAGCACUCCCCUUGACAAGGACUGAAGAGGCCCUUGGGCCUUACAACACACAUACAGUUAAGGCAUUGCCACCUACUUUGUGGCAUCUAACCACUGUUUUUG